RNAcentral lists this ribosomal RNA (492 nucleotides) under uncultured bacterium. Its description in RNAcentral is "partial 16S ribosomal RNA". It matches the Rfam family "Bacterial small subunit ribosomal RNA", at positions 29 to 507 of the family's 1533-position model. The record is from RNAcentral.
AGUGAACGCUGGCGGUAUGCCUAACACAUGCAAGUCGAACGGCAGCACAGUAAGCGCUUUCUCUUACGGGUGGCGACUGGCGGAUGGGUGACGCAUACAUCGGAAUCUUCUUUUUCUUGGGUGAUUACGUAGGGCCACUUCCGCUACUACCUCAUACGUCCUACGGCUUAAAGCAGUAGUUCUUCGCACCUUUCGCGAUUCUAUUAGCUGGUGUCGGAUUAGCUAGUUGGCGGGGUAAAGUCCCACCAAGGCGACGAUCCGUAGCUUGUCUGAGAGGAUGAUCGGCCACACUGGAACUGAGACACGGUACAGACUCCUAAGGGAGGCAGCAGUAGGGAAUAUUGGGCAAUGGGCGAAAGCAUGAUCAAGCAAUACCGCGUGGGUGAAGAAGGCCUUCGGGUUGUAAAGCCCUGUUGUUAGGAAAGAAAAGCUGCAGGUGAAUAUACGGAUGUUCUGACGGUACCAAAAGAAUAAGCACCGGCUAACUUCGUG